RNAcentral lists this ribosomal RNA (253 nucleotides) under uncultured bacterium. Its description in RNAcentral is "partial 16S ribosomal RNA". It matches the Rfam family "Bacterial small subunit ribosomal RNA", at positions 524 to 776 of the family's 1533-position model. The record is from RNAcentral.
UACAGAGGUCUCAAGCGUUGUUCGGAUUCAUUGGGCGUAAAGGGUGCGUAGGUGGCGGGGCAAGUCUGGUGUGAAAUCCCGGGGCUCAACCCUGGAACUGCACUGGAUACUGCCUUGCUAGAGUACUGGAGAGGGAACUGGAAUUUACGGUGUAGCAGUGAAAUGCGUAGAGAUCGUAAGGAAGACCAGUGGCGAAGGCGGGUCUCUGGACAGUUCCUGACACUGAGGCACGAAGGCCAGGGGAGCAAACGGG